This 406-nucleotide ribosomal RNA is filed under the name uncultured bacterium. RNAcentral's name for it is "partial 16S ribosomal RNA". It matches the Rfam family "Bacterial small subunit ribosomal RNA", at positions 30 to 526 of the family's 1533-position model. The record is from RNAcentral.
AUUGAACGCUGGCGGCAGGUCUAACACAUGCAAGUCGAACGAGUGGCGGACGGGUGAGUAAUGUCUGGGAAACUGCCCGAUGGAGGGGGAUAACUACUGGUAACGGUCGCUAAUACCUCAUACCAUCGGCUGUGUCCAGAUGGGAUUAGCUAGUAGGUGGGGUAACGGCUCACCUGGGUGACGAUCCCUCGCUGGUCUGAGAGGAUGACCAGCCACACUGGAACUGGGACACGGUCAAGACGCCUACGGAAGGCGGCAGUGGGGAAUAGUGCACAAGGGGGGCAAGCCUGAUGCAGCCAUGCCGCGUGUAUGAAGAAGGCCUUCGGGUUGUAAGGUACUUUAAGCGAGGAGGCGUUACUCGCAGAAGAAGCACCGGCUAACUCCGUGCCAGCAGCCGCGGUAAUUC